UGCUGCUUUGUCCCGAUAUUGGUGAUGUUCGUUUGGAUCAUAAGGGUAUCGCAUUAAAUUCAUAAGCUGAGAAGACUCGACAACUUGUACAGGCACUUCGAAGUAGCUGUGACUCUGGGAAUCCAGGCGGAUAUUGGGACCAAUUCAAGAGGCUCUGAGAGUGGCAUCCUGGGGGACGCAAGCACCACGUAGGUUCUCAGCCAGCCCAGAGUCCCUCCUUAUGGCAUGUGCUUCUGGCUCCUGUUUCCUGGCUUUCCAAGAGCGCUGUCACUGGAUAGCCUGCUGGAGACUUUGGUGAGUUACUCUGGAAACCUACAUAAUAUUUCUAUUUAAACAGAAAAAUCCAUCUUUUAAAUAAGGUGAUACAGUUUUAAAGUACGUUUAUUGUUUUCCUUCCUUUUACCUUUCUGUUUCAUAAAAG
RNAcentral lists this long non-coding RNA (421 nucleotides) under Equus asinus (donkey). RNAcentral's name for it is "lncRNA (ENSEASG00005028064.1)". The record is from RNAcentral. Lineage: Eukaryota; Metazoa; Chordata; Mammalia; Perissodactyla; Equidae.